AUUGAACGCUGGCGGCAGGCCUAACACAUGCAAGUCGAGCGGAUGAAGGGAGCUUGCUCCUGGAUUCAGCGGCGGACGGGUGAGUAAUGCCUAGGAAUCUGCCUGGUAGUGGGGGAUAACGUCCGUAAACGGGCGCUAAUACCGCAUACGUCCUGAUGGAGAAAGUGGGGGAUCUUCGGACCUCACGCGAUCAGAUGAGCCUAGGUCGGAUUAGCUAGUUGGUGGGGUAAAGGCCUACCAAGGCGACGAUCCGUAACUGGUCUGAGAGGAUGAUCAGUCACACUGGAACUGAGACACGGUCCAGACUCCUACGGGAGGCAGCAGUGGGGAAUAUUGGACAAUGGGCGAAAGCCUGAUCCAGCCAUGCCGCGUGUGUGAAGAAGGUCUUCGGAUUGUAAAGCACUUUAAGUUGGGAGGAAGGGCAGUAAGUUAAUACCUUGCUGUUUUGACGUUACCAACAGAAUAAGCACCGGCUAACUUCGUG
RNAcentral lists this ribosomal RNA (484 nucleotides) under uncultured bacterium. RNAcentral describes it as "partial 16S ribosomal RNA". It matches the Rfam family "Bacterial small subunit ribosomal RNA", at positions 30 to 507 of the family's 1533-position model. The record is from RNAcentral.